Molecule: ribosomal RNA, 498 nt
Filed under: uncultured bacterium
Lineage: Bacteria
Description: partial 16S ribosomal RNA
Rfam family: Bacterial small subunit ribosomal RNA
Source: RNAcentral
GAUGAACGCUAGCGGCAGGCCUAAUACAUGCAAGUCGAGGGAGAAUGUUGGAUUCGUCUGACAUGAAACCGGCGCACGGGUGCGUAACACGUAUGCAACCUACCUUUAACUGGGGUAUAGCUCAGAGAAAUCUGAAUUAAUCCCCCAUAAGACUACGACAUGGCAUCAUGAUGUAGUUAAAGCUCCGUCGGUUAAGGAUGGGCAUGCGGGAAAGUAGCUAGUUGGGGAGGUAAUGGCUCACCAAGGCUACGAUGUAUAGGGGGUCUGAGAGGGUGAUCCCCCACACUGGAACUGAGACACGGACCAGACUCCUGCGGGAGGCAGCAGUAGGGAAUAUUGGUCAAGGGACGAAAGUCUGAACCAGCCAUGCCGCGUGAAGGAUGAAGGCCCUAUGGGUCGUAAACUUCUUUUAUUAGGGAAGAAAAAACGGGAUGCGUCCUGUACUGACGGUACUUAAUGAAUAAGGAUCGGCUAACUUCGUGCCAGCCGCCGCAGUAA